This is a long non-coding RNA of Syngnathus acus (greater pipefish), 1035 nucleotides long. RefSeq lists it as uncharacterized. The transcript is spliced from 3 exons. The record is from RefSeq and is a predicted model, not a curated record. NCBI's taxonomy places the organism in Eukaryota, Metazoa, Chordata, Actinopteri, Syngnathiformes, Syngnathidae.
GACAAACACUAAGCAAGCUAUGUUGGCAAUCAAAAUAAUGUGGAGGAGGACCUGGCUAACCUGGGAGGCGUUAAGGAAGAGCACAGGUUGUAAGGGGCCCGUCAACCGCAGCUUGGAAGCCAUGUUUGGACAGAAAGUCAACAAAGGCCAUCAUCUCACAAGAUGAGUCCGAGGAGCAGAUGAAAUCUCACCCGUCCCUCCUCGAGAGCGCAGCGUGCCCGACUGCGAGGACGUGUGCACGCCUCCGAAGACGGUGACCCCCUGCGUGGCGCCUCCGCCGCCAAAGUUAUUGUAAUUGGGGAUGGUGGUGACCCCGAAGUUGGGCGGGUAGUGCUGCGGCGUCGGGUCGGCGCCAUAACGAUAACCCGGGUGGUGGGAGAGAGCGGCGUCGCGUCCCUCGGUGAGUUUUGCUGCGUCUUUAUCCUUACAUUGGACGCAGCCCAUUCUCUGGCUUCUGAGGAGGACACACAAACAAAAUUAGGAAUGAGCAAAAGGACGGGGACGGGGGGGGGGGCAAAGUGAAAGAAUAGCUGCCAACACCAGUGGGGAAAUUAUGAUUCAAUGUUCCAUUAUUUCAGCGGCUUCCUCGGAGGCUCCGAGCCGGUCGUCGGAACAAUCUUUCAAUUAGGUUGAAAUUAAACACCAGACUUUACGCGGCACAACUAAUUACACAGUAGAACAAAAUGUGGUGACACUGAAUUCCUGCAAAUGUCUUGACUCUCUCUCUCACCCUCAUCAUUCUGCUUUUUCACCCAUUUGCAUUUUUGUGGGGUGAAACUCUUUUAUAUUUAUUUGCCCAAGGAUGGCAGACUAUGAUAGAAAAGUCAUAAAAUGUGCUGUGAUAUUCAAUGCAAAGCCGUUUACCGUUCUAAACUGGAAAUUAAUUCACUGAAACAAAAAGCAGUAAUUUAGGCACGAGCGCACAUACGCGCGCAGUGCCGGGAGCCGUAACGAGAUACAAGUCCAUUUAUAGUAAAGCGGCAGGGUCAAUAUCGUAAAUUAAACGGCGAGUCAUGUCAGGGUCACAUAGUGUCG